Molecule: ribosomal RNA, 274 nt
Filed under: uncultured bacterium
Lineage: Bacteria
Description: partial 16S ribosomal RNA
Rfam family: Bacterial small subunit ribosomal RNA
Source: RNAcentral
AUACGGAGGGGGCAAGCGUUGUUCGGAAUUACUGGGCGUAAAGGGCGCGCAGGCGGCCCAUCAAGUCUGAGGUGAAAUCUCCCGGCUCAACCGGGAGGAGUCUUUGGAAACUGAUGGGCUAGAGGAAAGCAGAGGAAAGCGGAAUUCCCGGUGUAGCGGUGAUAUGCGUAGAUAUCGGGAGGAACACCAGUGGCGAAGGCGGCUUUCUGGGCUUUUCCUGACGCUGAGGCGCGAAAGCGUGGGGAGCAAACCGGAUUAGAAACCCGGGUAGUCC